AAAGGUAAGCUACUAAGAGCGAAUGGUGGAUGCCUUGACUGGUAAAGGCGAUGAAGGACGUACUAGACUGCGAUAAGCUACGGGGAGCUGUCAAGAAGCUUUGAUCCGUAGAUUUCCGAAUGGGGCAACCCAAUGUAUAGAGAUAUACAUUACCUAUAUAGGAGCGAACGAGGGGAAUUGAAACAUCUUAGUACCCUCAGGAAAAGAAAUCAAUAGAGAUUGCGUCAGUAGCGGCGAGCGAAAGCGCAAGAGGGCAAACCCAGUGCUUGCACUGGGGGUUGUAGGACUGCAAUGUGCAAGAGCUGAGUUUAGCAGAACAUUCUGGAAAGUAUAGCCAUAGAGGGUGAUAGUCCCGUAUGCGAAAAACAAAGCUUAGCUAGCAGUAUCCUGAGUAGGGCGGGACACGAGGAAUCCUGUCUGAAUCCGGGUCGACCACGAUCCAACCCUAAAUACUAAUACCAGAUCGAUAGUGCACAAGUACCGUGAGGGAAAGGUGAAAAGAACUGAGGUGAUCAGAGUGAAAUAGAACCUGAAACCAUUUGCUUACAAUCAUUCAGAGCACUAUGUAGCAAUACAGUGUGAUG
This 584-nucleotide ribosomal RNA is filed under the name Campylobacter jejuni. Its description in RNAcentral is "partial 23S ribosomal RNA". It matches the Rfam family "Bacterial large subunit ribosomal RNA", at positions 1 to 598 of the family's 2925-position model. Lineage: Bacteria; Pseudomonadati; Campylobacterota; Epsilonproteobacteria; Campylobacterales; Campylobacteraceae. The record is from RNAcentral.